AGCAGCCGCGGUAAUUCCAGCUCCAAUAGCGUAUAUUAAAGUUGUUGCAGUUAAAAAGCUCGUAGUUGAAUUUCGGGAUCAAUAUUUCGGUCAUGCCGUUGGUAUGCACUGUUAUAAUUGAUUUCUCACCUUCUAAAGAACCGUAAUGCCAUUAAUUUGGUGUUACGGGGAAUUAGGACUGUUACCUUGAAAAAUUAGAGUGUUUAAAGCAGGCUCACGCUUGAAUACAUUAGCAUGGAAUAAUGAAAUAGGACAUCCGAUUCUAUUUUGUUGGUUUCUAGGAUCGAUGUAAUGAUUAAUAGGGAUAGUUGGGGGCAUUAGUAUUCAAUUGUCAGAGGUGAAAUUCUUGGAUUUAUUGAAGACUAACUACUGCGAAAGCAUUUGCCAAGGAUGUUUUCAUUAAUCAAGAACGAAAGUUAGGGGAUCGAAGACGAUCAGAUACCGUCGUAGUCUUAACCAUAAACUAUGCCGACUAGGGAUCGGAUGAUGUUAAUUUUUAAUGA
This 503-nucleotide small RNA is filed under the name uncultured Glomus. RNAcentral describes it as "SSU rRNA". It matches the Rfam family "Eukaryotic small subunit ribosomal RNA", at positions 569 to 1074 of the family's 1831-position model. The record is from RNAcentral. Lineage: Eukaryota; Fungi; Glomeromycota; Glomeromycetes; Glomerales; Glomeraceae.